This is a non-coding RNA of Plectropomus leopardus (leopard coralgrouper), 409 nucleotides long. The record is from RefSeq and is a predicted model, not a curated record. Lineage: Eukaryota; Metazoa; Chordata; Actinopteri; Perciformes; Serranidae.
AUGGAUGUAUUAUGUAUCGCUUCAAUGGACCGUUUUUUUCAAAGAUGGCGGAUCAUAGCGAGCCUCAAUAGUUCCCGGAAGUAGCUAUCGGGCGCUUGCUGCACAAUGGAGUUGAUGCCAUAGAGCCGAUAGAGUAGAGUCCACAUUUUAAAGGCUCAGCUGAUUUUGCAUUGAUGACAAAAGUAAAGGGAAGAUGAAGCACCUGUGUGGAAUUUAAAACAUAACAAUCCUGCAGGAUGUGGAGCGACUGUGUGACAGGCCAGCAGUGGAGAGGAGCGACAAUGUUACAGGUCAGCAGUGAAGAGGAGCGACAAUGUUACAGGUCAGCAGUGGAGAGGAGCGACAAUGUUACAGGUCAGCAGUGGAGAGGAGCGACAGUGUGACAGGUCAGCAGUGGAGAGGAGCGACA